CGACUUCAAUCCCUGGUACCAAAAAAAAAAAAAAAAAGGACACAUUGCCAUUAAUCCCCUGAAAGUACUCAAAAUAUUUUUCUUCACUUCAGACACCUAGAUCCCAUCAUCCUUGGUAAUGUGUCUUAUAGUAUAAUAACUUUUUUAAAAUUUAAACAUUCACUGUAUUUUUCUAUCAGCCUUGUACUUCAGAGUUCAUUUCCCAGCCUAGCUACUUCUUCACGUCUCUGGGCAUCAGUGCUUUCAUCUGUGGAAUGGGAUAGACUCAUUUGUUUUUUAAAUUACUGAAAUGACAUAUGCGGUAUGCAAUCAGUGCUCCAUAAUUGUGACUGAAUGCCAACUUUUAAUCCCGAAGUCAGCAAGUUCAUGUUAGCCUGAAUUUACACCUUCAGUGAAAGGGACAGUGAAUCUAACAGGAAUUUACUCAUCAAAUGGCUUAACUGUUGCACCCACCCCGCGAAGGGAACAGACUUUCUGCAGGGCAUCUGACACACUGGUCACCGAGCGACUGACCUCACCCAGCACCCUCUCUUUGCAUUCAGAGAGGAUUCACCUGAGAUGGAGUUGGAGACUUGGUACAGUUUUGAAGAUUCCCACAAAUACACCUUCUAUGCUAUCUUCCUGCCCACUUUUUCCUUCUUCUGAAUUUUCAUAAUAACCCCAAGAAAAGUGAAGCCGUCCCUUAUGGAAGAAAUUUUUAUGUGUCAUGUCAAUCACUUAGCAUUUAAUCUCUGGUUAGGUGGGCACUGUUUCUGUCCCCAUUUUCCACUCGAAUAAACUGAGGUGAGCGGGGUUAAGGAACCUGCUGAAAUCACCUCGAUCACAAGUGGAGGAGCGGGAUUUGGAUCCAGGCUAAUUGAGUCAGAGUCUGUUAUUUAACUUAGUCCACAAUUUGAUGAGGCUAAAACAUCUGUGCAUUAAAAGCACAAAGUGACUUUCUUCAUUGCCCAGACUAGAAAUCCUGUCAAGAACUUGAGAUGUGAGAUGGGGUGGAGAAAAAAGAAGCAGAGAAAAGGAGGUGAUGGUAUUGCCUUUUCCCGGGUUGUCUCCGUAAGUUCUGGUUAGCUAGGUCAAGCACCGGUUCACAGACCUAACUCCGAAGUAAAUAUUCCCCCACGGGGGUCAGUUUUGUUAGCACUGCCUUUCAUUGUCAGUUUCCCGGUAUCUCCCAAUCUCCCCACUCCUGGCACCCAUAACUAAUUAGUAUUGAUUCUGGCAAUAUUUCUCAUCUGUAUUUCUGCUUUUCCAAUUUCCUUGACCAAGAUCAGUUAACAAGCACCACGCUAGCAUUCAUCCCUGAGCCCAUCCACAGCACUGCCCAAACGAUUACAGACUGAGGACACCUAUUUUGACUGAUUUCUUUUACAUAUUUAACCUGUAAAGUAUAAGGCAGAAAUCUAACAUUUAUGUGAAAUAUAAUUUAUCUUAGUCUUGGCAAAAAAAUGUAUUAGAAAACAAAUGACAAGAAGUCACUGGAGCCUACAGGCUUGCCGAUUUAUAACCCCUGGUUGAUCUUGGGAAUUAAAUCCUGUAGUACUGUGCUAUGAGCUCCUAGGGUAUCUCACUCAACUUCAAUUGAUUCCUGGAACAGCCUCACAUUUAUUCACAAGAGGUCAUUUCAUAUCAGCAUUUAUUCAUUCUGUGUCUUAUACACUUCAUUCAUUCAACUAAAACUUCAUGAGUACUUGGUAUCUGCGAAUCACUAUUCUAAAUCACGGUGAUAGAAAAGUAAGCAAGACAGACAACUCACUUCUUGCCAUUUGCUGUUUUCUUGAUGUUUUGCUGCUUUUUUUUGUUCCUCAUUUCUUGUCUUACUGCCUUCUUUUGUGUUCAGUUGAUUUUUUGUAGUGUUAUAUUUUGGUCUCAUUUCCUUUUGUGUGUAUUUUACACACAAAGAUAUUUUGUGUUACCAUGUAGAUUAUAUCUAACAUCCUGUAGCUAUAACAACCUACUUUUAAGUGAUAAUGACUUAACUUCACAUGCAUAUGAAACUCUCUUCCUUCUUACAUCUCUGUCCCACCUAAUAGCCACUUCAUGUUAUUGAUGUCACGAAUUAUGUAUUUUAGUAUUGUGCACCCAUUAACCUAAAUUUAUAAUUACUUUUAUGCUUCUGCUUUUAAAUAUUAUAAAAGAAUAGCAAGCAGAGUUGCCAAAUGAAAUUAUAAUAAUACUACUUUUCAUAUUUGUACAUAUAAUUACCUUUAUAUGAGAACUUUUCAUUUUCAUAUUUGAGUUACUUUUAAUCCCUUUAGUUCAACUUGAAUACUCCCUGUGAUCUUUCUUAUGGGCCAAGUCUAGGGACAAUGAACACCCACAAGUUUUCUUUAAUCUGUGAAUACCCUAAUUUCUCCCUCAGAUUUGAAGACAAUUUUGAGUACAAAUUUUUGGAUUGACAGUUUUUGAUGUCCUUCUUUUAGCACUUUAAAUAUAUUACCCAGUUACCGAGGGGAGGUGGCGUCUCCCAGGAGAGGCCUUAGGGACUCGGACUGACAGGGAUGGGACCUGAGGAAGGACGGGUCAAGUGGGGUCCUGUGACCCGGGUGAAGGAAGAAGGCGGGGCCGUGGGACGCUGGGGCUCAGGGCGCGUCCCUGGGCUGUGAUCCUGAGCCAGGAGAGUGCGGAUCGGCCCCCCGCGCCCCACCCCUGCCCUGCUGAAAACCCGGCGGGCGGCCAAGGAGCAAGUGUCCCCGGGGGACGACACAGGACCCCAAGGGGGCUUCCCCCUCGUCCCAGAAAGAGAUCCCGAAAAACGCGAGAAGACACAAAGGGACGCUGGGCUUCCCCGCAACAGCCACUCCUUCCUCUUCCGAGUGCCAUCUCCUGCCUGGCCCAAGCGUGUCCGCGGAAGGGCUGCUGUCGUCCAACCCUCUGAAGAACUAUGCCGAGGACACCAGCUGAGGACUCCUGGUCGUCUCAGUCCUGGCUUCCUGCAGCUCCCCUGCCAGUCCUUGAUUCUUGGCUCCCCACCAACUCUGAACCGGAUUUGACAUUGGCCCCAGAUCCACAUAGAGGAAAAUGAAUGUCAUAGUUUCAAAUCUUAAUAACUUAUCUUCCCUUCCAGAAGCCCAAUAAAUACCCUGCUAUCUAAAUAUUAAAAAUAUAUAUAUAUAUAUAUAUAUAUAUAUAUUGUCCCAUUGCCUUCUGAUUUGUAAGGUUUCUGAUGGGAAAUUCUCUGACAAUCUUCUUGAGGGUCUCUUAUCUACAAUGAAUUGCUUUUCUUUUGUGCUUUCAAGAUUAUCUCUGUCUUUGGUUUUCACAUUUUGAUUAUAAUGUGCCUUCAUCCAAGUCUCUUUGGGAUUGGUCUACUUAAAGUUGAUGAGCGUCUUGUAUUUGUAUACCCAUAUCUUUCCUCAAGUUUGAGAAGUCUGGGGCCAUUAUUUCUCUCUCUGUUACCUCCUUCUAGGACUCCCAAAGUAUGGAUAUUGAUCUGCUUGAUAGUGUACCAUAAGUCCCUUAAGCUCUGUUCAUUUUUCUUCACUUUUUCUUCAUUUUGCUCCUCAGAUUCAAUAAUUUCAAUUAUUUGUCUUCAACUUUACUCAUUCUUUCUUCCAGCUGUUUGAAUAGAGCAUUGAGUAAAUGUUCAAUUCUGUAA
Heterocephalus glaber (naked mole-rat) is the source of this 3592-nucleotide non-coding RNA. The record is from RefSeq and is a predicted model, not a curated record. Lineage: Eukaryota; Metazoa; Chordata; Mammalia; Rodentia; Bathyergidae.